RNAcentral lists this ribosomal RNA (429 nucleotides) under uncultured bacterium. RNAcentral's name for it is "bacterial SSU rRNA". It matches the Rfam family "Bacterial small subunit ribosomal RNA", at positions 355 to 776 of the family's 1533-position model. The record is from RNAcentral.
UGGGGAAUUUUGGACAAUGGGCGAAAGCCUGAUCCAGCAAUACCGCGUGUGUGACGAAGGCCUUCGGGUCGUAAAGCACUUUCAAUUGUGAAGAAAUGCAUGUAGUUAAUAGCUACAUGAGCUGACGUUAACAAUAGAAGAAGCACCGGCUAACUCUGUGCCAGCAGCCGCGGUAAUACAGAGGGUGCAAGCGUUAAUCGGAAUUACUGGGCGUAAAGCGCGCGUAGGCGGACUAUUAAGUCAUGUGUGAAAGCCCUGAGCUCAACUUAGGAAUUGCAUGUGAUACUGGUAGUCUGGAGUGUGAUAGAGGAAAGUGGAAUUUCCGGUGUAGCGGUGAAAUGCAUAGAUAUCGGAAGGAACAUCAGUGGCGAAGGCGACUUUCUGGGUCACUACUGACGCUGAGGCGCGAAAGCGUGGGGAGCAAACAGG